This 377-nucleotide ribosomal RNA is filed under the name uncultured bacterium. RNAcentral describes it as "bacterial SSU rRNA". It matches the Rfam family "Bacterial small subunit ribosomal RNA", at positions 521 to 896 of the family's 1533-position model. The record is from RNAcentral.
UAAGACGUAGGAUGCAAGCGUUGUCCGGAUUUAUUGGGCGUAAAGAGUUCGUAGGUGGUUCGUUAAGUCUGAUGUUAAAGAUCGGGGCUCAACCCCGGGAGUGCAUUGGAUACUGGCGGACUGGAGUGUGGUAGAGGCUAGUGGAAUUCCCAGUGUAGCGGUGAAAUGCGUAGAUAUUGGGAAGAACACCGGUGGCGUAGGCGACUAGCUGGGCCAUAACUGACGCUGAGGAACGAAAGCCAGGGGAGCGAAUGGGAUUAGAUACCCCAGUAGUCCUGGCUGUAAACGAUGGAUACUAGACGUAGCGGGUAUCGACCCCUGCUGUGUCGCAGCCAACGCGAUAAGUAUCCCGCCUGAGUAGUACGGCCGCAAGGUUG